AUUGAACGCUGGCGGCAGGCCUAACACAUGCAAGUCGAGCGGAUGAAGGGAGCUUGCUCCUGGAUUCAGCGGCGGACGGGUGAGUAAUGCCUAGGAAUCUGCCUGGUAGUGGGGGAUAACGUCCGGAAACGGGCGCUAAUACCGCAUCCGUCCUGAGGGAGAAAGUGGGGGAUCUUCGGACCUCACGCUAUCAGAUGAGCCUAGGUCGGAUUAGCUAGUUGGUGGGGUAAAGGCCUACCAAGGCGACGAUCCGUAACUGGUCUGAGAGGAUGAUCAGUCACACUGGAACUGAGACACGGUCCAGACUCCUACGGGAGGCAGCAGUGGGGAAUAUUGGACAAUGGGCGAAAGCCUGAUCCAGCCAUGCCGCGUGUGUGAAGAAGGUCUUCGGAUUUUAAAGCACUUUAAGUUGGGAGGAAGGGCAGUAAGUUAAUACCCUGCUGUUUUGACGUUACCAACAGAAUAAGCACCGGCUAACUUCGUG
This 484-nucleotide ribosomal RNA is filed under the name uncultured bacterium. RNAcentral's name for it is "partial 16S ribosomal RNA". It matches the Rfam family "Bacterial small subunit ribosomal RNA", at positions 30 to 507 of the family's 1533-position model. The record is from RNAcentral.